AUUGAACGCUGGCGGCAGGCCUAACACAUGCAAGUCGAGCGAGCGGCGGACGGGUGAGUAAUGUCUGGGAAACUGCCUGUUGGAGGGGGAUAACUACUGGAAACGGUAGCUAAUACCGCAUACCAUCAGAUGUGCCCAGAUGGGAUGAGCUAGUAGGUGGGGUAAUGGCUUACCUAGGCGACGAGCCCUAGCUUGUCUGAGAGGAUGACCAGCCACACUGGAACUGAGACACGGUCCAGACUCCGACGGGAGGCAGCAGUGGGGAAUAUUGCACAAUGGGCGAAAGCCUGAUGCAGCCAUGCCGCGUGUGUGAAGAAGGCUUUCGGGUUGUAAAGCACUGUCAGCGGGGAGGCGUUACCCGCAGAAGAAGCACCGGCUAACUCCGUGCCAGCAGCCGCGGUAAUAC
This 406-nucleotide ribosomal RNA is filed under the name uncultured bacterium. Its description in RNAcentral is "partial 16S ribosomal RNA". It matches the Rfam family "Bacterial small subunit ribosomal RNA", at positions 30 to 526 of the family's 1533-position model. The record is from RNAcentral.